CUUGCGGUGUCGUCUCUGACAGCCGCAUCACGUCCCUCUUUCAAAAUCCUGAUGACAAGUUUAUUGCUCUGCAGUGGACUGGAUUUCGCCGUAGUCAGCUAAGCUCUGUCCCUGUCCAACAGUCUCGUCAGGCUCAGGUCCAUCAAGGUCCGCUUCUGUCCCCACUGAAGGCCCAGACGCUGCGGGCGGCCCUGUCUCGUCUCGCCGGGAGGGCUGAGGGCCAUGAGUGACAGCUGUCAGUCAUACGUACAUCUGUGAAGAAGACACAGGGAGAAUUUAGACUGACAUCCGCUUGUCUAAGUUUUCUUUUUAACUCUAAUUUGUUGUCUUUUUUACAUUCUGUGUCCGUCCCUGUGCUCUUGCCCCCCCCCCC
Molecule: long non-coding RNA, 373 nt
Filed under: Scleropages formosus (Asian bonytongue)
Lineage: Eukaryota; Metazoa; Chordata; Actinopteri; Osteoglossiformes; Osteoglossidae
Description: lncRNA (ENSSFOG00015027573.1)
Source: RNAcentral